RNAcentral lists this transfer RNA (94 nucleotides) under Fimbriimonadaceae bacterium. RNAcentral describes it as "tRNA-Sec". It matches the Rfam family "Selenocysteine transfer RNA". The record is from RNAcentral. Lineage: Bacteria; Bacillati; Armatimonadota; Fimbriimonadia; Fimbriimonadales; Fimbriimonadaceae.
GGGAGCGAAUGGGUGCUGGUGUGCCCCCCGGUCUUCAAAACCGAUGUGACCUCGCAAGGGGUUAGGUGGGUUCGAUUCCUACACGCUCCCGCCA